RNAcentral lists this transfer RNA (73 nucleotides) under Parcubacteria group bacterium SW_6_46_9. RNAcentral's name for it is "tRNA-Arg". It matches the Rfam family "tRNA". Rfam says of the family: Transfer RNA (tRNA) molecules are approximately 80 nucleotides in length. Their secondary structure includes four short double-helical elements and three loops (D, anti-codon, and T loops). The record is from RNAcentral.
GCGCCUGUAGCUCAGUGGAUAGAGCGCAUCGUUGCGGACGAUGAGGUCGGGUGUUCGAAUCAUCCCAGGCGCA